AUUUGGGGACCUCCCUACCUGCAUGCAAAAAAAUUUUUAAAUCCGAGUGUAACACCUAAAAACCUUUCCUUGUCGGUCGGUGCGUACGUAUUGCUCGUAUUCCACCUGUUCUCGCACGAAACGCGUAUCCAGCAUUACAUAACGCAGGUUCACGCGUGUGCAUGGCAGGUACAUACGGUGCGUGUGUGCGGCUGGCAGGACCAAUAUAUGCGAAUGACGUGGAUGUACAUGGUCGCGCCCGCCGCAUGUACGUAGUGUCCGACCUUUAUCGAGCUCGUAGCGACGGCCGCGGCGUGCGGAAAAAAAAGAACGCCCGCGGGUCUACGCGGGUGGAACGAAGCUCGCCAAUGAUCACCGCCGGUGCUUCGAAAUUGUACUGUGUGCUGCAGCGUUUGAAAACAUCGCAGCCGUUAUAACGCGAGUGUCAAGUAACUGACGGAUUGUAUGUUGCGCCGCAACAAACGCACGAAUAUCUUUAAUAAAAGAUUCUUUACGGAGCUUAGUAUCAUAUAGUGUGGACCGACGUUCUGGUUCGCGCUUGUGUCAUCAAAAGCGGAAAUCUCGCGUUUCCUCCGGGAAAUCCGUCAAACGUGCUAAUUGAGAGAUUGCGUCGAUCGGUAAUAACCACGUACUACGGGCGAGCUAAUAUUUGAGCACGGUAGAAUUUCGGCGUUAAUUGCUCGCUGUAUUUUCCAAAUUGGCUGCGCAAGCAGAAAGAGACAGGAAAGAGGGGAAGAAGAAGAUAAAGAUAACGAUGGUUACAUAUCGUAUGUCAAUCUCGUUCCCGAAAAACAUAUCACGCGACGCAAUCGAAAGCAAUAACUGCACGUCGAAUUCCACGUUGACAGUGUUCCAUGAAGAGUUUCUAAGCACUGAAGGAAAUCUGUCGCGAUACGCGGUUCUCUCUCCUUCUCUCUCGAAAAAGUAAUUUAAACGCGUAAACUCGUCCGACAUCCAGAACGGCAUCCUGACAGCCGUCGCAACGGCCGCGAGAUGCAUUGUCUGACUCGCUCGCGACUGUCGGCCGCCGAUAGGAUUCACAGAGAGCCGGCCUAUAGAAAUCCGCGCGGCGGCGUCAGGACGAUUCCCUGGGUUUCAUCGGAGACGUGCACGCGCGUACGCGCGCACUAUUGUUUGCGGCGGACAGAUUCAUUUAAACUUGUCGGUCGCUCCCGUUCCUCUCCAUUAAACUGCGCGAACUGUCCUCCACCAGCACACACGUUUCCGGUCGAAAUGUCAAGAUCCAUGGCGUUUUUUGGAGCCUCGCCAGCGACGGUGACAGCCAAUGAUAAACCAUAGGAUAAACGCGUAUCCGGGAUAGGAGUAAAUUUCUGCGCGGCCGAAGUAAGGAUGCUACUUACGACUGCGAAUCAGCUGGAUGCUGUGGACCACACGCGUCGAUUCUUAUUUAAUGAGCGAGACGGCUGUCGGUCGAGACCUGAGCGACGAGCUAAUAAUUAUCGGUGCAUUAUUUGACGAUAAUUGGAUCCUUGCUUCCUGUAAUCCCGCGCGUGUUUCGCCACCGCCGCCGCCGAUCAAUCAAUGGGAGUCCACCGGCGCGCGUUAAGGGGGGAUUCUCAUGUAACGAGUCAAAAAAUUCUAUUUUUUUUUGCUUAAAUCAACUCUAAUACAUGUGGAAAAUAUGUUCCUAAAGUUACAAAUCGAUAUUCGACCUCUACGUAUAGUUAUAGUCGAGUUUUCGACCGCGCGUUGAGUAGGUAGCUGGGAGCGCUCGGAGCGGAGACACGCGUCUCGUCUGCCCUCACUCAUACACUCGUACGUAACAAACAGCUUCGCAGGUGUACGUCCAACGAUUUUCUUUUGUUGGGAUAUACCUUCGCGUACUUGUAUAGCUGAGGCAGGAAAUUUUUACGAGAGCUUCAAUUCGUGUGUUUGGCGUUUGGCUCCGAAAUAUUUAUAUUGUGGCAUCCGAACAGUAGAAAUAGCCGCAUAUAUUGCUGCAAGAUUAUUCAACGAAGGCUAUUUCGCCGUUUUAAAAAUUAUGGACACAUUAGAACUAAAGAUCGGUACCCAUUGUAAGGAGUAUGCAGACUCGUAUGACGCCGCGCGGAUACGGCGACAGGAGCGACGAAGCCUCAGUAGCUCGAAAGAAGCUCGAACUGCUCGCAAAGAACUGAAUUUACAACAGCAGCAGUUAUACGAGGAUGCAGAAGGCCUACUAUAUGGCCCUGGAAUCGCCGAUUAGGACUACCAUUACAGCGGAUGCUAGACUGCACACCGUUUGACGCCUGCGACGCCGAAGCCGCUGAAGGCGGCGUCCAUACCUAUAUUUAUAUAUAUGUUUUUUUUAACCAAAAAAAUAUUUUUAUAUUCUCUUUACAUGUAUUGAUGUACUAUUAAAGUUUGAGAUCCUUUGACUAAAUACGUUCUUGAAAAAAAA
Molecule: long non-coding RNA, 2401 nt
Organism: Ooceraea biroi (clonal raider ant)
Lineage: Eukaryota; Metazoa; Arthropoda; Insecta; Hymenoptera; Formicidae
Source: RefSeq, a predicted model, not a curated record